RNAcentral lists this ribosomal RNA (460 nucleotides) under uncultured bacterium. Its description in RNAcentral is "partial 16S ribosomal RNA". It matches the Rfam family "Bacterial small subunit ribosomal RNA", at positions 338 to 795 of the family's 1533-position model. The record is from RNAcentral.
CCUACGGGUGGCAGCAGUGAGGAAUAUUGGUCAAUGGGCGGAAGCCUGAACCAGCCAAGUCGCGUGAGGGAAUAAGGCCCUACGGGUCGUAAACCUCUUUUGCCGGGGAGCAAGGGCUGGGACGUGUCCCGGCCCGGAGAGUUCCCGGAGAAAAAGCAUCGGCUAACUCCGUGCCAGCAGCCGCGGUAAUACGGAGGAUGCGAGCGUUAGCCGGAUUUAGUGGGUUUAAAGGGUGCGUAGGCGAGCUUUUAAGUCAGCGGUAAAAAUUCGGGGCGCAACCCCGUCCGGCCGUUGAAACUGGGGGCCGUGAGUGGGCGAGAAGAAGGCGGAAUGCGUGGUGUAGCUGUGAAAUGCAUAGAUAUCACGCAGAACCCCGAUUGCGAAGGCAGCCUUCUGGCGCCCUACUGACGCUGAGGCACGAAAGUGCGGGGAGCGAACAGGAUUAGAUACCCUUGUAGUC